Molecule: long non-coding RNA, 2531 nt
Organism: Pristis pectinata (smalltooth sawfish)
Lineage: Eukaryota; Metazoa; Chordata; Chondrichthyes; Rhinopristiformes; Pristidae
Exons: 3
Source: RefSeq, a predicted model, not a curated record
CGCGCAUGCGCGGCCAGAAACGCGCCACCAGCGGAGCGCGUGUUUACGUCAGCGGAGCGCGAGCAGCGGGUCAAGUGAAGAGAUGGCGGUGGAGACUUGAGCUCGGGAGGAUGAUGGUGGUCUUCUUAAAGCAGAUGGGAACCUCUGAUUGGUUAAAAAUGUCUGCAAAUACUCCUGCCAGCUGAUCUGCACAGGAUCUAAGGACACGGCCAGCGACACCAUCUGGGCCAGAUGCUUUCUGUGGGUUCACUCUCCAGAAGACUGAUCUGACGUCUGCAACAGUGACUGUGGGUACAGGUGCAUUGGAAGCUGUUGGGGCAUAUGGUGACAUUCCAUUUCCCUUCUGUUCAAAACGUGCAUAGAAUGAAUUAACCUCAUCAGGGAGGGAUGUGCAGUUGUUGGCGAUGCUGCCCGAUUUUGUUUGGUAGCCCACUAUAACAGGCCUCCAGGUCUAUGAAGAGUCUCAGAAUAAACAUGGCUACAGUGACUCAAUCAACAUGCCAGUUCAGUCCAUGCUCCAGACCAUCUCCCAAGGCCUAAUCCAGAUACCAGGCCCUUUGACAGGCCCUAACCCAGGAUCCAGGGUAGAGACACUCAUGCAGGACUUAAUCCAGGCUCUAGAACACAUACUCAGAUGACCUAUUCCAAGGUCAGCUAUAGCCCUGAUCUGGGCAUAAUCUGACCUCUGUACCCUGGUCUGUGCCCUGUCCAGCCUUUGUACCUCUGGUCUGAGCCCCAUCCGGCCUUUGUACCCCUUGUCUGGGCCUUGGGAGAAGGGAGCUGGUUGGAACAAGAGGAAGGUGGGAGCGAUGGCUCUUGGGAGGGAGCCAGUGCAUGUGGACAAGGUACCAAAUGAGUGCUUCGCAUCAGUAUGCACCAAGGAGAAGGACAUGGAGGAUUGUGAGAUUGGGAGGGAUAUGCUGAUAUUCUGGAGCAUGUUGAGAUCAAGAAGGAGGAGGUGUUGGGUCUAUUGAAGAACAUUAAGGUGGGUAUGUCCCUAGGGCCUGAUGGGAUCUAUCCCAGGUUAUUGAGAAGUGCAAGAUAGGAGAUUGCUGGAGCCUUGAUAAAGAUCUUUGUUUCCUCUCCAGCCACAGGCAAGGCCCCAGAGGACUGGAGAGUAGCCAAUUUUGUUUCUUCAUUUAAGAAGGGCAAUAGAAAUAAUACAGAAAAUUAUGGGCUGGUGAGCCUCACAUCAGUAGUAGGGUAGAGGAUUCUUAGGGAUAGGACUUACUCACAUUUGGAAAGGGGAUAGUCGGCAUGCUCUUAUGCAAGGCAGGUCACGUCUUACAAACUUGACUGAGUUUUUUGAGGAGGUGACAAAGAUGAUUGAUGAGGGUAGGGCAGUGUACGUUGUAGUAAGGCAUUUUACAAGGUCCGUCACAGUAGGCUGACCCAGAAGAUUAUGAUGCAUGGGAUACAAGGUGACUUGGAAGAUUGGAUUCAAAAUUGGCUUGGCCAUAGAAGACAGUAGUGGAGGGGUGUUAUUCUAACUGGAGGUCUGUGACCAGUGGUGUUCUGCAGGGAUCAGUGCUGGGACCUCUUUUGAUUGUGAUAUGUAUAAAUGAUUAGGAUGAAGAUGUAGAUGUGCUAAUUAGUAAGUUCACAGACAACACAAAAAUUGGUGGAGUUGUAGAUAGUUAAGUACGUUGUCAAAGGAUAUAGCAGGAUAUAGAUCAGUUGCAGAUAUGGGUGGUGAAAUGGGAGAUGGUGUUUAAUCUGGGCAAGUGUGAGGUGUUGGACUUUGGGAUUCAAAUGCAAGGGAAUUGUACACAAUAAAUGGCAGGAUGCUUAAGAGAAUUGAUGUACAGUGGGAUCUUGGGGUCCAAGUCCAUAGCUCCCCAAAAGUGGCAACACAGGUAGAUAGGGUGGUAAAGAAGGCAUGCGGCUUUCUUGUCUUAAUCGGUCAGGGCAUUGCGUAUAAGAGUAAGGAAGUCAUGUUGCAGCUUUAUAAAACUCUGAUUAGGGUGCAUCUGGAAUAUUGCGUUAAAUUCUGGUCGACCCAUUAUAGGAAGGAUGUGGAGGCUAUGGAGAGGGUGCAGAAGAGGUUUACCAGGAUGCUGCCUGGAUGCUAUAAGGAGUGGUUGGACAAACUAGGGUUGUUUUCUCUGGAGUGGCGGAGGCUGUGGGGAGACCUAAUAGAAGUUUAUAGAGUUAUGAGAGGCACAGAUAGAAUAGGCAGCUGGUAUCUUUUUCCCAGGGUCAAAAUGUCUAAUACUAGAGGGUAUGUAUUUAAGGAAAUUCAAAGGAGAUAUACGAGGCAGUUUUUUACACAGAGUGGUAGGUGCCUGGAAUGUGCUGCCAGGGGUGGUGGUGGAAGGAGCUUUGAUAGAAGCAUUUAAGAGGCUCUUAGAUAGGCACAUGAAUAUGCAGAGAAUGGAGGGAUAUGGACCAUGUGCAGGCAGAAUAGAUUAGGUGUCAUUGCUUUCACUUGUUCGGCACAACAUCAUAGGCCAAAGAGCCUGUUACUCUGCUGUACUCUUCUAUGUUCUGUGGAAGAAAUCAAUGGGUUGAGAAGUAAAAGGGAUGGUUGA